RNAcentral lists this ribosomal RNA (320 nucleotides) under Clostridium ljungdahlii. RNAcentral describes it as "bacterial SSU rRNA". It matches the Rfam family "Bacterial small subunit ribosomal RNA", at positions 104 to 422 of the family's 1533-position model. The record is from RNAcentral. Lineage: Bacteria; Bacillati; Bacillota; Clostridia; Eubacteriales; Clostridiaceae.
GGGUGAGUAACACGUGGGUAACCUACCUCAAAGAGGGGGAUAGCCUCCCGAAAGGGAGAUUAAUACCGCAUAAUAAUCAGUUUUCACAUGGAGACUGAUUUAAAGGAGUAAUCCGCUUUGAGAUGGACCCGCGGCGCAUUAGCUAGUUGGUAGGGUAACGGCCUACCAAGGCGACGAUGCGUAGCCGACCUGAGAGGGUGAUCGGCCACAUUGGAACUGAGAGACGGUCCAGACUCCUACGGGAGGCAGCAGUGGGGAAUAUUGCACAAUGGGCGAAAGCCUGAUGCAAGCACGCCGCGUGAGUGAAGAAGGUUUUCGGA